Molecule: non-coding RNA, 29 nt
Filed under: Homo sapiens (human)
Lineage: Eukaryota; Metazoa; Chordata; Mammalia; Primates; Hominidae
Source: RNAcentral
UGCACAUCAACUCAGAGACUAAUCCCUGC